GCGUCGGUAGUUUAAUGGUAGAACGAGAGACUUCCAAUCUUUCAGCGCGGGUUCGAUUCCCGCUCGGCGCUC
This 72-nucleotide transfer RNA is filed under the name Streptomyces phage StarPlatinum. RNAcentral's name for it is "tRNA-Gly". It matches the Rfam family "tRNA". From Rfam's summary of the family: Transfer RNA (tRNA) molecules are approximately 80 nucleotides in length. Their secondary structure includes four short double-helical elements and three loops (D, anti-codon, and T loops). Further hydrogen bonds mediate the characteristic L-shaped molecular structure. tRNAs have two regions of fundamental functional importance: the anti-codon, which is responsible for specific mRNA codon recognition, and the 3' end, to which the tRNAs corresponding amino acid is attached (by aminoacyl-tRNA synthetases). tRNAs cope with the degeneracy of the genetic code in two manners: having more than one tRNA (with a specific anti-codon) for a particular amino acid; and 'wobble' base-pairing, i.e. permitting non-standard base-pairing at the 3rd anti-codon position. Lineage: Duplodnaviria; Heunggongvirae; Uroviricota; Caudoviricetes; Stanwilliamsviridae. The record is from RNAcentral.